UACGUAGGGUGCGAGCGUUAAUCGGAAUUACUGGGCGUAAAGCGUGCGCAGGCGGCGCGUUAAGACAGGUGUGAAAGCCCCGAGCUUAACUUGGGAAUUGCGCUUGUGACUGGCGAGCUGGAGUGUGGCAGAGGGAGGUGGAAUUCCACGUGUAGCAGUGAAAUGCGUAGAGAUGUGGAGGAACACCGAUGGCGAAGGCAGCCUCCUGGGCCAGUACUGACGCUCAUGCACGAAAGCGUGGGGAGCAAACAGG
Molecule: ribosomal RNA, 253 nt
Filed under: uncultured bacterium
Lineage: Bacteria
Description: partial 16S ribosomal RNA
Rfam family: Bacterial small subunit ribosomal RNA
Source: RNAcentral